GCCGAAGUGGUGGAAUUGGUAGACACGCUAUCUUGAGGGGGUAGUGGGCACCGCCCGUGCUGGUUCGAGUCCAGUCUUCGGCA
RNAcentral lists this transfer RNA (83 nucleotides) under Deltaproteobacteria bacterium. Its description in RNAcentral is "tRNA-Leu". It matches the Rfam family "tRNA". From Rfam's summary of the family: Transfer RNA (tRNA) molecules are approximately 80 nucleotides in length. Their secondary structure includes four short double-helical elements and three loops (D, anti-codon, and T loops). Lineage: Bacteria; Pseudomonadati; Myxococcota; Myxococcia. The record is from RNAcentral.